Molecule: long non-coding RNA, 211 nt
Filed under: Phaseolus vulgaris (common bean)
Lineage: Eukaryota; Viridiplantae; Streptophyta; Magnoliopsida; Fabales; Fabaceae
Description: long non-coding RNA (PVUL_LNC003970)
Source: RNAcentral
CCUCGAUCCUUAUUAGGCGAUUCUCCUCUUGGAGCACGGAGAUGUUGUCCUGAAGUUUCUUGCUAGAGCUCUCCACAGCUUUUGAUAUGAUGGAGGGGAGGUCCUCUGCCAUCAUUCUGAGUUUGGCUGUGAAGGGUUCCCACAUCCCUUUAACCGCAAGGGGAAGGUUGGCAACCGCUGUUGGUGGAGGCGCUGAAGGAGCCUGGUGCUG